Molecule: long non-coding RNA, 1114 nt
Organism: Metopolophium dirhodum (rose-grain aphid)
Lineage: Eukaryota; Metazoa; Arthropoda; Insecta; Hemiptera; Aphididae
Exons: 4
Source: RefSeq, a predicted model, not a curated record
UCGGCGUUAUCGACUGUCGCCUAUCAGUUGUAAUGAAACUAAACACAAGGAAGGGGUCACGGUUGUAUAGUGGUGGCGGUGGGCAACGGUCGUCGUUCGUUCGCUGUGUCUACUUUUAGUGUCUUUUUUUCUAAGUCGUUGUUCCUUUUAUAGCCGCCGUCAGUGAUAAUUGUAAUUUUAAUUUUAAUAUUUUAUUAAUUUUAUGAUAGUUUUGACUUUUUAAACCGUUGCCGUUUAUCGUUUUACGUUUUUAUGACUAGAAACGACAGUCGUUAUACUCGUCCGCUGUCGGAAUUUGUAUCUACUUUCUGUUACAGUCUAUGGCCGCCGGUUAUCGCCAUCAGUGAUUAUUAUAUUUUAUUAGCUUUACGAGUUAGCGAAUAUCAUAAAUUCUGGCUGGCUGAAUUGGGGAAAAAAACCAGAAAAAGAAUAUGAUUGUGCUAUUAUAAAAAAAUCACUCGUCUACCGCCUACUGCCUAAAUUCUGCGUUGGAUAGCAAAAUUUUGUGUUAAGAAAGUCACAAAUUAUGAUAAACAUCCUAAAACUAUAUUGCUAAAAUCAUGUGAAGCAAGAAAUUCAGCAUGUAGCAAUCAAGAAAUGUUCAAUAUUGAUCAAAGUUCUGCAAACAUUUCACAGGAACUCACUGUAUAAAUGGCUAGCAGCACCUAUAUGUUAUUUGCAAUGAACACAUUAUUAAACAUGAAUAAUCAAAAUGUAAAUGUUUAUGAGUCUGCAUCUCCUUUGUGUUCUGAAAAGAUAACACAGAUGUCACAGUUAUCGACACUCCGCCUAUUACUAUCUGCCUCAGCUAUACUAAAUAACGAUUCUAACAAUUUUGCUGUAAUCGUGGUGAGUUGUAGUUAUGUCUUAACUUUAAGAUUUUUUUAAUGUAAAUAUGUCACGUUUAAAAGGUGACAAUUUAAAACCAUUUAACCAUUGCAAAAACAUUGAUGCACUCAUGUAAUUUACAUACACCUUACAUUAAAUUAUGCUUUGCUUAAAACUAAAAACUGUUUAUAUUUACUAAAAAAUAUACAUGAAGAUAUCUAAUAUCAUGUAACUUAUUGUAUUUAGUACCUAUUGUUGUAUAAUAACUAUUAAAAAAAUAAUAUUU